UGGGGAAUAUUGCACAAUGGGCGCAAGCCUGAUGCAGCCAUGCCGCGUGUGUGAAGAAGGCCUUCGGGUUGUAAAGCACUUUCAGCGGGGAGGAAGGCGUUAAGGUUAAUAACCUUGGCGAUUGACGUUACCCGCAGAAGAAGCACCGGCUAACUCCGUGCCAGCAGCCGCGGUAAUACGGAGGGUGCAAGCGUUAAUCGGAAUUACUGGGCGUAAAGCGCACGCAGGCGGUCUGUCAAGUCGGAUGUGAAAUCCCCGGGCUCAACCUGGGAACUGCAUUCGAAACUGGCAGGCUAGAGUCUUGUAGAGGAGGGUAGAAUUCCAGGUGUAGCGGUGAAAUGCGUAGAGAUCUGGAGGAAGACCGGUGGCGAAGGCGGCCCCCUGGACAAAGACUGACGCUCAGGUGCGAAAGCGUGGGGAGCAAACAGG
Molecule: ribosomal RNA, 429 nt
Filed under: Chloroflexota bacterium
Lineage: Bacteria; Bacillati; Chloroflexota
Description: Chloroflexi bacterium partial 16S ribosomal RNA
Rfam family: Bacterial small subunit ribosomal RNA
Source: RNAcentral